Molecule: ribosomal RNA, 497 nt
Filed under: uncultured bacterium
Lineage: Bacteria
Description: partial 16S ribosomal RNA
Rfam family: Bacterial small subunit ribosomal RNA
Source: RNAcentral
GACGAACGCUGGCGGCGUGCCUAAUACAUGCAAGUUGAGCGCUGAAGGUUGGUACUUGUACCAACUGGAUGAGCAGCGAACGGGUGAGUAACGCGUGGGGAAUCUGCCUUUGAGCGGGGGACAACAUUUGGAAACGAAUGCUAAUACCGCAUAAAAACUUUAAACACAAGUUUUAAGUUUGAAAGAUGCAAUUGCAUCACUCAAAGAUGAUCCCGCGUUGUAUUAGCUAGUUGGUGAGGUAAAGGCUCACCAAGGCGAUGAUACAUAGCCGACCCGAGAGGGUGAUCGGCCACAUUGGGACUGAGACACGGCCCAAACUCCUACGGGAGGCAGCAGUAGGGAAUCUUCGGCAAUGGACGAAAGUCUGACCGAGCAACGCCGCGUGAGUGCAGAAGGUUUUCGGAUCGUAAAACUCUGUUGGUAGAGAAGAACGUUGGUGAGAGUGGAAAGCUCAUCAAGUGACGGUAACUACCCAGAAAGGGACGGCUAACUACGUG